UACGGGGGGGGCAAGCGUUGUUCGGAAUUACUGGGCGUAAAGGGUUCGUAGGUGGCCAACUAAGUCGGACGUGAAAUCCCUCAGCUUAACUGGGGAACUGCGUCUGAUACUGGUUGGCUUGAGUGCAGGAGAGGAACGCGGAAUUCCAGGUGUAGCGGUGAAAUGCGUAGAUAUCUGGAGGAACACCGGUGGCGAAGGCGGCGUUCUGGACUGUAACUGACACUGAGGAACGAAAGCCAGGGGAGCAAACGGG
RNAcentral lists this ribosomal RNA (253 nucleotides) under uncultured bacterium. RNAcentral describes it as "partial 16S ribosomal RNA". It matches the Rfam family "Bacterial small subunit ribosomal RNA", at positions 524 to 776 of the family's 1533-position model. The record is from RNAcentral.